UGAAGACAAGAUCUUCCCCCUCGGAGAAGGAGCUGUCAGUUUUGCAAGUUUAAGGAGAUACUUGGAGUAGAGGGUCAGCGGGAGUCUGUGACGGGCCGAGAAGAGGGGUUCGCUUCUGUUCCCUAAGUCACAGUGUCACAGUGCGAGGUGCCGGUGCCUGAUGAGCUGCUGCAAAUACAGCAAAUAACAAAUGGGAAAGGGGAACCUUCCAGAGAAAACCUAUCACCUUGAGACAUAUACAAUUAACUCCUAGAAAAGCCUGGAAAAGUGAGGCGCAGGAAGGAUUAAAAAAACAGGUCAGAAGCCUUUGCCAAGGCCUGGUUCUGGAACAACAAAAUAAUAGAGGAUCUGAAAGAGCCCCAAAAGAGAUCCCUGGAGAAAACCAUCACUGAUGCUGGAAGAUGGCAGCAGUUCACAGUGUCACAAGAGCAGAGCCAGGACACACUGAUUCCAUGCAGGGAGAGCAGGAGUAGCAGCAGAAAG
This is a long non-coding RNA of Fukomys damarensis (Damara mole-rat), 483 nucleotides long. RefSeq lists it as uncharacterized. The record is from RefSeq and is a predicted model, not a curated record. NCBI's taxonomy places the organism in Eukaryota, Metazoa, Chordata, Mammalia, Rodentia, Bathyergidae. The transcript has 3 exons.